Molecule: ribosomal RNA, 391 nt
Filed under: uncultured bacterium
Lineage: Bacteria
Description: bacterial SSU rRNA
Rfam family: Bacterial small subunit ribosomal RNA
Source: RNAcentral
GUGCCAGCAGCCGCGGUAAUACGUAGGAUCCAAGCGUUGUCCGGAUUUACUGGGUGUAAAGGGCGUGUAGGUGGAUUUUUAAGUCGGUGGUGAAAUCCUGCAGCUCAACUGCAGAAUUGCCUCCGAUACUGGAAGUCUUGAGUGCGGCAGAGGGAGACGGAAUUCAUGGUGUAGCGGUGAAAUGUGUAGAUAUCAUGAAGAACACCGGUUGCGAAGGCGGUCUCCUGGUCCGUUACUGACACUGAGGCGCGAAAGCGUGGGGAGCAAACAGGAUUAGAUACCCUGGUAGUCCACGCCCUAAACGAUGGGUACUCGGUGCUGGGCCGCAAGGUUCAGUGCCAACGCAAACGCAUUAAGUACCCCACCUGGGGAGUACGAUCGCAAGGUUGAA